CCAUAUCAGCACCUCAUUUCGCUUCGAUCCAAUAUUGUAGUGACAUGACAGUAAAACAAAGCAUGCAUCAGGAACAGUAAGAAGACAGAGCAGCUAAAAAAAUACAACAAUAAAGCAGUCUUGCUAUUUUUACUGUUUAUCAUAAAACAUGAUCAAUACGGUACCAAAGACAAAACUUCAGAAUGGAGGGCACAAUGAAACAAACUUGUGGUCUGUAGUUCUACUAUUGUUCUCAUAGGACUGUAAAGAAGCACACUAGACAUGAAAAAAAGUGAAGAAUAAGUGGAGUAUAAAAAGACAACUAUCAUUAAAAAGGUUGGAAUAAUCUUUUUUAAAAGAACCUCACAACAUAGGAAAAAUCUGUUCACUAAAUUAGUCAGUUCUUAGUGCCUUUUGAUA
This 399-nucleotide long non-coding RNA is filed under the name Musa acuminata (dwarf banana). RNAcentral describes it as "long non-coding RNA (MACU_LNC006247)". Lineage: Eukaryota; Viridiplantae; Streptophyta; Magnoliopsida; Zingiberales; Musaceae. The record is from RNAcentral.